Molecule: long non-coding RNA, 342 nt
Filed under: Mytilus galloprovincialis (Mediterranean mussel)
Lineage: Eukaryota; Metazoa; Mollusca; Bivalvia; Mytilida; Mytilidae
Source: RNAcentral
AAUCUAUAUAUAUGUCGUGUACAUUUUAUUAUUUUGUACAGGUUAUUACUUGUACAAAAACUUUGUACGAGUAAUUACUUGUAUGAUGCCAUCACACAAGUUAUUACUUGUACAAAUACAAUUGUACCAGUAAUUACUUGUACAAUUUUUGGUGCGAAAAAGAUAAUAACUUGUACAACACAAUAUCCUUGGGUUAUAUGUGUUUCUUCUUUUGGUUUUAAUGUUUUAUAUAAAACUCCUUUUUUUUGGUUUGUAAGUCAGGGAAUUUUUGUCAAUUGUUGGGUAUGUAUUUAUUCGUUCUUUUUUUAAUUUAUUCUUAUCAUGCAGCGUAUGUUUUUUAAA